CCUACGGGAGGCUGCAGUAGGGAAUCUUCCACAAUGGGCGAAAGCCUGAUGGAGCAACGCCGCGUGGGUGAAGAAGGUCUUCGGAUCGUAAAACCCUGUUGGCAGAGAAGACAGUGCGUGAGAGUAACUGUUCACGUUUCGACGGUAUCUAACCAGAAAGCGACGUCUAACUACGUGCCAGCAGCCGCGGUAAUACGUAGGGGGCAAGCGUUAUCCGGAUUUAUUGGGCGUAAAGGGAACGCAGGCGGUCUUUUAAGUCUGCGGUGAAAGCCUGCGGCUUAACCGGAGUAGUGCAUUGGAAACUGGGCGACUUGAGUGCAGAAGAGGAGAGUGGAACUCCAAGUGUAGCGGUGAAAUGCGUAGAUAUAUGGAAGAACACCAGUGGCGAAAGCGGCUCUCUGGUCUGUAACUGACGCUGAGGUUCGAAAGCGUGGGUAGCAAACAGGAUUAGAUACCCUGGUAGUC
Molecule: ribosomal RNA, 465 nt
Filed under: uncultured bacterium
Lineage: Bacteria
Description: partial 16S ribosomal RNA
Rfam family: Bacterial small subunit ribosomal RNA
Source: RNAcentral